This 781-nucleotide long non-coding RNA is filed under the name Rhinopithecus bieti (black snub-nosed monkey). Its description in RNAcentral is "lncRNA (ENSRBIG00000046799.1)". Lineage: Eukaryota; Metazoa; Chordata; Mammalia; Primates; Cercopithecidae. The record is from RNAcentral.
UUUUAAGGAAAUGUGAUUUUAUUAAUAUUCCUCCUUUAAAAAAGAGAGAAAAAAUAACUUGAUGUAAUCAAAUCAAAUGUUAGCAUAUUUUUGUUUUUGAAAAUUUCUUACUAAGAGAAUUGCUGAGUUAAAGUUGCAGGUGUGUGCAAGUGUUGGGAAGAAGCGCUGAUUCCAGGGCAGAGUGGCUGUGCUCCUUCCUCAUCUCCACUCACAGAAAUGCCAUCUUUUAUCUACUCAGAACUGACAUGGAGAUUCAGGUCAGCAGCCAGAGACUGUAAGCAUAUUGCAGUGGAUAUCCCUGCCUAGUCCGGAUUCUUUUUGCAACUUGUCUGCGAGGCAAGGAGGGAUACAGAUGUGCGAGUGAGGGGAAGUCCGCAGGAAGCCGGGUGAGGCAGGCUCAUCCCUCAUCACUCCGUGCGCACAGAGCAGCUCAGGCUCUCUCACUGGCAAUAGCAAGAGGAGUUAACUAACGUGCUGGGAGUAGGUGACGGCCCAUGGGACCACGACUGAAUGCAUUUGUACCUCUACAGGACUUCUUCCCUUUGGAAAGCAGUGUGGUGGCAGUGUCACAGGCAUCCUGUGUGUUUGCAGCAGGUUCCUUCCAGAAGCAGCUGAGGAAGACAGCAAGCAAGUGGCAUUUGGGGUCUUGUAUCAUGUUGGAACACAGCCGUAGUACAUAGACUUCCUGAAAAAAAGACUUCCAGGUAAAAACAUAUUGUGGACACGGUAACAAAUUGGAGAGGGUCAAGCAUCAGGAACACAUGUUCCCUUUUGGCUUCAA